GCCAGAGUGGCGGAACUGGUAUACGCGCGCGACUCAAAAUCGCGUUCCCGCAAGGGAUUAAGGGUUCGACUCCCUUCUCUGGCA
This 84-nucleotide transfer RNA is filed under the name Candidatus Kerfeldbacteria bacterium. RNAcentral describes it as "tRNA-Leu". It matches the Rfam family "tRNA". From Rfam's summary of the family: Transfer RNA (tRNA) molecules are approximately 80 nucleotides in length. Their secondary structure includes four short double-helical elements and three loops (D, anti-codon, and T loops). The record is from RNAcentral. Lineage: Bacteria; Candidatus Kerfeldiibacteriota.